This is a long non-coding RNA of Zootoca vivipara (common lizard), 1322 nucleotides long. RefSeq lists it as uncharacterized. The record is from RefSeq and is a predicted model, not a curated record. Lineage: Eukaryota; Metazoa; Chordata; Lepidosauria; Squamata; Lacertidae.
GUUGCAAGAGCAGACUUUGCUCUUUAGCUGCAGAUUGCAGCUCAGUUGCCUAUCGGACUAAAAUCAUCGUCAUCAUUGAUCUUGUUUCUAGUAUUUCUUGCCUGAAAACCACAAGCCAGCUAUCUGACAUUCCUUUACUUGAAUAAGGGAGGAAGGAAAAGCCACAAAAAUCACUUUCUGCUGAAUCAGGAGCAGAGGUAACCAGGGCUGAGAUGUUUCAGCGUUCGCAAAACUUCAACUGAUGCCAGCGUUAAAAACUGAGCAUGCCACUAAGAGUUUGGAAGUCACUGCUAUCACAAGUCUCAUCGUCCUCUACAAUGUGUGUCAAAGGAUCAAAGGAGGAUUCAUUUGGACUUUUUGGUCUAGCUUCAGCUGUUGCAAUUGCCCAUAAAGAUGAUGAGAUUUAGAUAUCGACUCCUUCCGUUUUGUUUCCUCUGUUUCAUGUAAGAGUUUCUGAAGAGAUAAAGGAAAGAGCAUAAUUCUCCAAUCAAAAGCCAACUAAGGCAUAAAACUACUGAAGAAUUACCAAAAAACAGUUCCAACAGAGAAGUUAAUUUUAAUGUAACAAGAUUGCUGUGGAAAUGAUGGCUUAGAGACUGCUCAAGUGGUACUACUACCCUAAAGUCGAUUUUUAUUGGUAUCAAUGAAAAUUGUAAAGCUUCCAUAUAAUGGACAAAAUGCAUUAUAUGGAUUUUAAAACAUCACUCAAACAUAAUGAAACUAAAACAGGGAAGUGCAUAUUUGCACAUUCCUAAACACCCUUAACUAAGGAAUAAGCGGCAACGAACACAGUGGGACUUCUAAAUAAUCAUGCAUAAGAUUGUACCUAUAGCAACUGCCUAUUAAUAUGCAAAUAAGCUUUUACAAACUUCAGAAGAAGAAAAAAGUUGUGCCAUUUGCAUAAUCCUGUGUACGUGAAUUUUGCAAAUCUGACUGCAGGAUAUAAUGUGUACAGACCUAUGCUGCACUUGCGCCUUUACAGAGCACAUCCAGUGGCAAAUACAGGGUGAGUCCUUUAAAAGAGGCCCCGUGGAUACAGAGUACACAUGUUCCACAGGGGCUCUUUUAAAAGACUCACCCUGUAUAUAAAUAAACUAAUUCUAUAUGGCCAACAGGGCUUUAGGCACGUGUUCCUCAAAUAGUAGCCCCUCACACUUCACAGUAAACUAUUUUGAUAGAGAAAGCAUUUUCAAGAGCAGCAUAUGGCAUAACAUAAUUUUGUUUCCCAAAUAUACAUGGUACAUGAAAGUGUAUCAAAUAGUAACAUGGACAAUAUAAAUCCUUUACUGAUCAUUAACAUUUAUCACGAAGCCUGUACCUGC